CCCAUGGUAUCCCAAGCAGGCAUUCCCGCUCUUCUGGAAGGCAGUGCUGCUGCAGGGUUGGCUCCAGGACCGUCCUCAUCCAGCAUCCCCCAAGAGAUGGCAGCUGGCAUGUCCCCGACCACUCUACUGCCAGCAAUUGGUGCUUCAAGUGACCCCCACCAGGAUGGCAGCACCAUGGGGCGAGUGGUAGGGACAACAUCCCUGGAGGUGGGCACAGAGGAGAGCCCAGGUGCCAGUGCAGCAGGGCCAGUUUCCAGCCACGUAAUCGUCACUGCUGGGUCAUCACCAGAGCCAACUGCUCAAGGGACAGAUGCUCCAGAAACCAGGCCCACAGCGGAUCUGCCUCUCCUGGCUCCCAGGGGUGGUCGCUCAGCCCCACCAGCCGUGGCUAAGCCCAGCCCAGCACAGGCUGUGGCAAGCCACCUCCUCAGCACCACCACUGGCAAGACACCCCAGCCUGUGACACUGCUUCUCCCUAAAAACACAGCCAUGGACAAAGGUGGGGGCAGGUCCCAGCUGGCAGAAGAUGGCAGAGUCACACGGACAGCUCCAGGCUCAACCCUGCUUGAAAAUGCGAGGUUGGGUGCCACAACAGGUAUGCCUGACAGUAGUGACACCACCCUUGGGACAGCCCCACCAGUGCCACCCACCACCACUGCCAGCAUCACUGCUCAGCAAGGCGGGACAGCCCCACCAGUGCCACCCACCACCACAGCCAGCAUCACUGCUCAGCAAAGCGCAGCUGCAUUGGACCACAGCUAUCAUACUGCUAAGCCCAUCACAGACCUGGACAUGGACCUGGACAUGGGUAUGGCUUCUCCCACCACAGAGAAUGGGCCUGCAGAGCUGCUCCUGGGGUUGCCCACUCCUAUGGCUGGAGCGGCUGAGCCAAGCACCAGUGAUGCCACCCCAUCGGCACGCUCUGCCCUAGGCAGCAAAAGACCUACAGCAGUGGCUGUCAUGCGUAUGGUGUCACCCACAGCUCCAGAGCUGGUUGUGACACCUUACCUUGGCCUCGCUCACAGCACUGCUGAGCCAGAUGUCAGUAUUUCCUCUCCUGUCCCUGGGAACACCCAUCUGGUGGUGGUGGCACCUUCUGUCACCCCCAGCAUCACCAUCAAUGGUCCAGCAGUGGGAGCAGGUGAUGCCAGUCUCAGCAGUGCCUCCGCUCCACGCAGCCCCCGUGCUGCCAUGAGGCCAUACCCUGAGGCCAC
RNAcentral lists this long non-coding RNA (1214 nucleotides) under Falco tinnunculus (common kestrel). RNAcentral's name for it is "lncRNA (ENSFTIG00000014719.1)". The record is from RNAcentral. Lineage: Eukaryota; Metazoa; Chordata; Aves; Falconiformes; Falconidae.